UGGGGAAUUUUGGACAAUGGGCGAAAGCCUGAUCCAGCAAUGCCGCGUGUGUGAAGAAGGCCUUCGGGUUGUAAAGCACUUUUGUCCGGAAAGAAAUCCUCUGGGUUAAUACCUCGGGGGGAUGACGGUACCGGAAGAAUAAGCACCGGCUAACUACGUGCCAGCAGCCGCGGUAAUACGUAGGGUGCAAGCGUUAAUCGGAAUUACUGGGCGUAAAGCGUGCGCAGGCGGUUUUGUAAGACGGAUGUGAAAUCCCCGGGCUUAACCUGGGAACUGCAUUCGUGACUGCAAGGCUAGAGUAUGGCAGAGGGGGGUAGAAUUCCACGUGUAGCAGUGAAAUGCGUAGAGAUGUGGAGGAAUACCGAUGGCGAAGGCAGCCCCCUGGGCCAAUACUGACGCUCAUGCACGAAAGCGUGGGGAGCAAACAGGAUUAGAUACCCUGGUAGUCCACGCCCUAAAACGAUGUCAACUAGUUGUUGGGGGAUUCAUUUCCUUAGUAACGUAGCUAACGCGUGAAGUUGACCGCC
This 527-nucleotide ribosomal RNA is filed under the name uncultured bacterium. Its description in RNAcentral is "partial 16S ribosomal RNA". It matches the Rfam family "Bacterial small subunit ribosomal RNA", at positions 355 to 873 of the family's 1533-position model. The record is from RNAcentral.